RNAcentral lists this unclassified non-coding RNA (341 nucleotides) under soil metagenome. Its description in RNAcentral is "partial contains 5.8S ribosomal RNA, internal transcribed spacer 2, and large subunit ribosomal RNA". The stretch from base 1 to 120 matches the Rfam family "5.8S ribosomal RNA", at positions 35 to 154 of the family's 154-position model. The record is from RNAcentral.
GAUGAAGAACGUAGCGAAAUGCGAUAAGUAGUGUGAAUUGCAGAAUUCAGUGAAUCAUCGAAUCUUUGAACGCACAUUGCGCCCUUUGGUAUUCCAAAGGGCAUGCCUGUUCGAGCGUCAUUUGUACCCUCAAGCUUUGCUUGGUGGUGGGCGUCUUGUCUCUAGCUUUGCUGGAGACUCGCCUUAAAGUAAUUGGCAGCCGGCCUACUGGUUUCGGAGCGCAGCACAAGUCGCACUCUCUAUCAGCAAAGGUCUAGCAUCCAUUAAGCCUUUUUUUCAACUUUUGACCUCGGAUCAGGUAGGGAUACCCGCUGAACUUAAGCAUAUCAAUAAGCGGAGGA